GAUGAACGCUGGCGGCGUGCCUAAUACAUGCAAGUCGAGCGAACAGACGAGGAGCUUGCUCCUCUGACGUUAGCGGCGGACGGGUGAGUAACACGUGGAUAACCUACCUAUAAGACUGGGAUAACUUCGGGAAACCGGAGCUAAUACCGGAUAAUAUAUUGAACCGCAUGGUUCAAUAGUGAAUGACGGUUUUGCUGUCACUUAUAGAUGGAUCCGCGCCGCAUUAGCUAGUUGGUAAGGUAACGGCUUACCAAGGCAACGAUGCGUAGCCGACCUGAGAGGGUGGUCGGCCACCCUGGAACUGAGACACGGUCCAGACUCCUACGGGAGGCAGCAGUCGGGAAUCUUCCGCAAUGGGCGAAAGCUUGACGGAGCAACGCCGCGUGAGUGAUGAAGGUCUUCGGAUCGUAAAACUCUGUUAUUAGGGAAGAACAAAUGUGUAAGUAACUAUGCACGUCUUGACGGUACCUAAUCAGAAAGCCACGGCUAACUACGUG
This 497-nucleotide ribosomal RNA is filed under the name uncultured bacterium. Its description in RNAcentral is "partial 16S ribosomal RNA". It matches the Rfam family "Bacterial small subunit ribosomal RNA", at positions 28 to 507 of the family's 1533-position model. The record is from RNAcentral.